GACGAACGCUGGCGGCGUGCUUAACACAUGCAAGUCGAGGGAGGCCGGGCCUUUCGGGGCUCGAGUCGACCGGCGGACGGGUGAGUAACACGUAAGUGACCUAUCCUGGUGCGGGGGACAACCCGGGGAAACUCGGGCUAAUACCGCAUGGUCGGUUCUGCUGCAUGGCGGGAUCGGGAAAGGUGGCCUCUGAUUCAAGCUACUGUGCCGGGAGGGACUUGCGGGCUAUCAGCUAGUUGGUGGGGUAACGGCCCACCAAGGCGACGACGGCUAGGGGGGUCUGAGAGGACGACCCCCCACAUUGGGACUGAGACACGGCCCAGACUCCUACGGGAGGCAGCAGUGGGGAAUAUUGGGCAAUGGGCGCAAGCCUGACCCAGCGACGCCGCGUGCGGGAUGACGCCUUUCGGGGUGUAAACCGCUGUCACCGGGGACGAACCUCUCAUGUUCGAACAGGGCAUGGGACUGACGGUACCCGGGAAGGAAGCACCGGCUAACUCUGUGCCAGCAGCCGCGGCAAGACAGAGGGUGCGAGCGUUGUUCGGAAUUACUGGGCGUAAAGCGCGCGCAGGCGGCUCUGCAAGUCGGGAGUGAAAUUCCGGGGCUCAACCCCGGAGCUGCUGUCGAACUGCGGAGCUGGAGACCGGUAGAGGUCGGUGGAAUUCCCGGGUGUAGCGGUGGAAUGCGUAGAGAUCGGGAAGAACACCCGUGGCGAAGGCGGCCGACUGGGCCGGUUCUGACGCUGAGGCGCGAAAGCGUGGGGGAGCAAACAGGAUUAGAUACCCUGGUAG
This 791-nucleotide ribosomal RNA is filed under the name uncultured bacterium. Its description in RNAcentral is "bacterial SSU rRNA". It matches the Rfam family "Bacterial small subunit ribosomal RNA", at positions 28 to 793 of the family's 1533-position model. The record is from RNAcentral.